GUUGAACGAAUGUAGCAGUUUGUUUCAUGAAAUCUAUUUCCAUUCCUUGCUCCCAUUCGAUUCCGUUUCUUUUGCUGCCGUUAUUAGGAUUCUUGCUAUGAAACAGAUGAACCCUAAAACUGAUUAACGAACACGCAUAUGAGAAAAGGAGAGAUCGAUUCAUACAUACCUUACUUAAAUCAAACCCUAAAUCGCAUAGCAGAACGGGUUCAUCGUUUGUAAUUGCCCUUCCUUUGGUUCACGCUUAAUCGCCCUUCCUUUGGUUCUCUGCUUCACUCGCUUAAUCGCUUUCUGAAAUCACUUCUCUGCUUCUUUGCGUUUCUCAAAUUGUUUGUAACGGUGUUAAACUGUGUUAAAUCCACGUCAGUAGCAAAAUAGACACGUCAUCGUUUUUCUGCACGAAAAUGACGAAAAGGACCAAAGUGUUCACGUAUUGAGAGAUAAAGGACCAAAACGUUACAAAAAAAAGAUAAAGGACCAAAGUGUUACAACAAAAUAAAAUAAAGGACCUGUAGUGUAAUUCUGCCAAUAAUAAAUUAUUGAGGUAUAUGGUGGACCACCUAUAAUGUUGGUCCACCUAAUACAUUUGGGGUUGAUAAAUUAACGGAAAUGACUAAUUUGACAAACAGUGACAUCUUUAAGGGACCUAAGCGGAACUUUUAUUCAAUAAGGGACUAAUGUGAAACCAAAAAUUU
This 695-nucleotide long non-coding RNA is filed under the name Trifolium pratense (red clover). RNAcentral describes it as "long non-coding RNA (TPRA_LNC013183)". The record is from RNAcentral. Lineage: Eukaryota; Viridiplantae; Streptophyta; Magnoliopsida; Fabales; Fabaceae.